GGUCUGUAACUGACGCUGAGGCGCGAAAGCGUGGAGAGCAAACAGGAUUAGAUACCCUGGUAGUCCACGCCGUAAACGAUGAGUGCUAGGUGUUAGGGGUUUAGAUGCCCGUAGUGCCGAAGUAAACACAUUAAGCACUCCGCCUGGGGAGUACGUCCGCAAGGUUGAAACUCAAAGGAAUUGACGGGGACCCGCACAAGCAGUGGAGCAUGUGGUUUAAUUCGAAGCAACGCGAAGAACCUUACCAGGUCUUGACAUCCUUUGACCACUCUGGAGACAGAGCUUCCCCUUCGGGGGCAAAGUGACAGGUGGUGCAUGGUUGUCGUCAGCUCGUGUCGUGAGAUGUUGGGUUAAGUCCCGCAACGAGCGCAACCCUUGAUCUUAGUUGCCAGCAUUUAGUUGGGCACUCUAAGGUGACUGCCGGUGACAAACCGGAGGAAGGUGGGGACGACGUCAAAUCAUCAUGCCCCUUAUGACCUGGGCUACACACGUGCUACAAUGGAUGGUACAAAGGGUUGCGAAGCCGCGAGGUGAAGCCAAUCCCAUAAAGCCAUUCUCAGUUCGGAUUGUAGGCUGCAACUCGCCUACAUGAAGCCGGAAUUGCUAGUAAUCGCGGAUCGGCAUGCCGCGGUGAAUACGUUCCCGGGUCUUGUACACACCGCCCGUCACACCACGAGAGUUUGUAACACCCGAAGUCGGUGAGGUAACCUUUUGGAGCCAGCCGCCUAAGGUGGGACAAAUGAUUGGGGUGAAGUCGUAACAAGGUAACC
RNAcentral lists this ribosomal RNA (770 nucleotides) under uncultured bacterium. Its description in RNAcentral is "bacterial SSU rRNA". It matches the Rfam family "Bacterial small subunit ribosomal RNA", at positions 731 to 1501 of the family's 1533-position model. The record is from RNAcentral.